Molecule: long non-coding RNA, 874 nt
Filed under: Ricinus communis (castor bean)
Lineage: Eukaryota; Viridiplantae; Streptophyta; Magnoliopsida; Malpighiales; Euphorbiaceae
Description: long non-coding RNA (RCOM_LNC003299)
Source: RNAcentral
AUUAGGGAUUGUUAAGGGCCAUGUCUGGUAUGGGAUGGCAAGAGAAUAGAUUCCUCAAUUUAAAGAAUUAUAUUUUCAAUAUAUUUUUGAAAUAUUCAAAUUAAGCUUGAUAAUUCUUUUAAGAAAUCAUACAUAAUUAUAUAAAUGAAUAUUAAUUUUUAUUUAGAAUUUAGAAUAACUAAACGUACACAUAUGUUAUUAAGUUUCUUAAGUAUCGAAUCAAACCAAUCUAUUUAAUAAUUAUAAUUACUGUAAAUUAUUAAAAAUAAUUUAAAUAUGUAAUAUUUAGCCAUAAAACAUAUAUUUGAAAUUAAAUUAAAAACAAAAAUUUAGAAAAGAAAAUCAUAUAUUAAAAAUAAUUUUUCAUAAAUAUAAAAAGAAUGGAAACAUAAAGGACAUAAAAUCUAAAUAAUUCCCAAUUUAUAUAUUAGUGAUAAUAUCAAAUAUAUAUUAAGGGUUUAAAAAUCACUCCAUUAAAAAAAUAAUUAAAAAGUCAAUAACUUAAUACUUUGACUUACCAUUUUAAGUGCUUUUGACUUAAUUAAAAUUUGUAAGUAGAGUAUAUAUCAUGUUAUCAUACCAUCUUAAAAGAUAAUAAGUGAUAAAAACUUUAAUUCUGAACUACAAACACCCUUUUAUUUCAUAAUCUUGGUCUUCAAUUUGAAUUUUAUUUAUUAUUUAAAAUUUGAUCUUUAUAAUGAAUGACAUAUAUGAAAAUUAUAUAUUUAUUAGUUUAAACAGCAGUGUUUAUGGAAUUAGAUGCUUUUUGUGUGGGGUGCAAAAAGCCAAGCUAGCUCUAAAGUAUAACCAUAUAGAAUUUGGAACUUUAUUGGAGUUGGGGGAUGUAGAUUUUUAAGGCCUUGGGAAGAGUGAG